GAGGGUAUCGCUCAGUGGUAGAGCGCAUGCUUAGCAUGCACAAGGUCCUGGGUUCAAUCUCCAGUAUCUCCA
This 72-nucleotide transfer RNA is filed under the name Camelus bactrianus (Bactrian camel). It matches the Rfam family "tRNA". Rfam says of the family: Transfer RNA (tRNA) molecules are approximately 80 nucleotides in length. Their secondary structure includes four short double-helical elements and three loops (D, anti-codon, and T loops). RNAcentral also lists the same sequence under 2 other names. The record is from Rfam by way of RNAcentral. Lineage: Eukaryota; Metazoa; Chordata; Mammalia; Artiodactyla; Camelidae.